AGCCGAUUUCAAUGAGUGUGUAGACAAAGGGAAUAUCCUUGGUUAUCUUGCUUGCAGAACAGAAAAGACAUUGUUAGGUUAUGUAAACUACCCUACUUUAAGAGUAGACUAGUCCGACAAAUGACACAUCUUUCUGUCUGUAGGACCAGGCUACUUCGAAAGGAGGGUAGUAUACCUUACCUAACAAUGACUUCACGGUUUAGCUAACAAGUAAGCUAACCAAAGAUAUAACCCCUGCCUACAUACUCAAUGGAAUCGGCUGUAACUAAAAACUCGAAUACAUUUUAACAGACAGUGGUCAUGUUUGUUAAUGAAUAUUGUUUUUCCUAGAUUCACUCUUGAAAAAUCAUUUGGUAACAUUUGGUCAAGUAAUUUCAGAUUAUAUCUUUUUGUAAUUGCGGACGCCAAGACAAUACAUGAAUCUCACACGACCCCUCGACACAGGUGAGCUUAUAUAUGAUCUUAUAGCGAUUCGGGUUGAUAACCAGUUGAAAUUAAGCCAGUUUUGUGUGUGUGUAGAUUUGUAUUGUUUUAAACUGUUAUGACCUUUUAAAGUUAAAUGUAGGUGUUUAAUCUAAGAAUUUCUUUUUUAAACUUAUAUACUUGUUUUAUACUCAAUUGGUAGUAUGAAGCUACGAGGUAUUUUAAUUUUUGAAAUUGACAUAUUCUAGUCUGCCCUUUCAUUGAAUAGUGAUAUUUUUUUAGUGUUCUAUCGAACUUUCGAAAAAAAAUACCUGAUAACCGUUCAGACAAAAAAAAUUAUGAUGAAAAAAUCUUACAGAUACAGCAAGUGGUUCUUAAUAGCUAUAAGAUACAUUUUUCUUUUAAAAUACAACUUUUAAAUCUUACGGGAAACUAUUCCAAGCUUUAAACUUUCACUGUAACCUCGCUCUAACUUAUCCCCCAUCCCCCCCCCCAAAAAAAAACCAAACAAACAAACCCGCAAUACUAUUGUCAUUCUUAUAGUCAGCACUAAAUUGUUCACAAACAAAUGUGUUUUAAGCUGCUAAAGACAUAUGAUUCAAACGCUCAGAAAGUCUUUUGUUCUAUAUUUUUGCUCUCCAUUUUUAUGCAAAACCUUUUACAUUUUUAUUUUAUGGGUUAUUGUUGAAGGUCGUACGAUGACGUAUUGUUGUUAACACAUACUUCCUUUGGUUUCUUAUGGAAAGUCCAUUGACAACAAACAUACCACAUCAUCUACUUUAUAUAAGUAUUGUAUAAAUUACAACGUAUUUUGGUGAUCUUGCAAAAUGAUCGUAAUCCCGAAAAUCGUAAACAUAUUUUCUUAUCUUAAAAGGGGGCAAGAAGGGUUCCAUUAACAGGCCAAUAAAUAAGAUUACAGUUAAUUUAAAAAAAUAAAUAAAAAAAAUAGGGGUAUUUUUUCUCUCAUAAUAACAGUAAACAGAUUCACAACAAUGUCAAUUUCAAGAAAGCAGACAACAGUUAAUUAGUCAAUAACGGUACAGCAUCAAUGAUCUUGAAAAUAUGCCACUUUUAAGUAAAAUAUAAAGGCACAGAACCAGGACAUAGGAGCACAGAACCAGGACCGUUUUUCUUAUCACCAGCACAGCGUCAGGACAAUUCCGUUUAACGAACUUGCACGACUUUUGCAAUUUAAUAUUGUUGUAAUAUACUUUGCAUGGUACUUAUGACGCAUCAGAGAAAAAUUAAGCAACAAAACUGUCGUUUUAUUGCCGUUCUGAUACAAUGUAAACAAACCCACCAGCACAGAAUCAGGACCCACCAGCACCUGACAGGACCAAAUCACCAGCACAGUACGUUCUCUCGCAGGACAACCAUACCCACCGUGAAAGUCGUAGGAAUAUUGUUUGUCAUCAAUACGUAGUACAACUACGUCAGUAGUCUAUUAUAUAAUUCAACUGUUCAUGCUGUUGGCGGCA
RNAcentral lists this long non-coding RNA (1901 nucleotides) under Mytilus galloprovincialis (Mediterranean mussel). The record is from RNAcentral. Lineage: Eukaryota; Metazoa; Mollusca; Bivalvia; Mytilida; Mytilidae.